CAUAAGCAAAAAAUGCUUCUGGAAUGGUUUUUCUGGAAACAUUUUUGCUUAUGGAAUGACCUUUCCGGAAGUGCAUCUUGUAUCUUCCGGAAUGAUCGUUCCGGAAGUGCAUCUUGUAUCUUCCGGAAUGAUCGUUCCGGAAGCAAAGCUAUUUAUUAUUGUUAUGGAAUACGUAUUCCUGAAGGCAAAAUUAUUUUUUAUUGUUAUGGAACACUUAUUUUGGAAAUUAUUUUUUAUUGUUAUGGAACCCCUAUUCUGGAAG
This 262-nucleotide long non-coding RNA is filed under the name Glycine max (soybean). Its description in RNAcentral is "long non-coding RNA (GMAX_LNC000320)". Lineage: Eukaryota; Viridiplantae; Streptophyta; Magnoliopsida; Fabales; Fabaceae. The record is from RNAcentral.